GAUGAACGCUGGCGGCGUGCCUAAUACAUGCAGGUCGAGCGAACGGACGAGAAGCUUGCUUCUCUGAUGUUAGCGGCGGACGGGUGAGUAACACGUGGAUAACCUACCUAUAAGACUGGGAUAACUUCGGGAAACCGGAGCUAAUACCGGAUAAUAUUUUGAACCGCAUGGUUCAAAAGUGAAAGACGGUCUUGCUGUCACUUAUAGAUGGAUCCGCGCUGCAUUAGCUAGUUGGUAAGGUAACGGCUUACCAAGGCAACGAUGCAUAGCCGACCUGAGAGGGUGAUCGGCCACACUGGAACUGAGACACGGUCCAGACUCCUACGGGAGGCGGCAGUAGGGAAUCUUCCGCAAUGGGCGAAAGCCUGACGGAGCAACGCCGCGUGAGUGAUGAAGGUCUUCGGAUCGUAAAACUCUGUUAUUAGGGAAGAACAUAUGUGUAAGUAACUGUGCACAUCUUGACGGUACCUAAUCAGAAAGCCACGGCUAACUACGUG
This 497-nucleotide ribosomal RNA is filed under the name uncultured bacterium. RNAcentral describes it as "partial 16S ribosomal RNA". It matches the Rfam family "Bacterial small subunit ribosomal RNA", at positions 28 to 507 of the family's 1533-position model. The record is from RNAcentral.